AUCAAGCCAUAUCAACCUGCAGCCUAAGACCGGUUACUCACUGAAGCUAAGCAGGGCUGAGCCUGGUCAGUACCUGGAUGGGAGAUCACAUGGGAACACCAGGUUGCUGUUGAAA
Molecule: ribosomal RNA, 115 nt
Filed under: Danio rerio (zebrafish)
Lineage: Eukaryota; Metazoa; Chordata; Actinopteri; Cypriniformes; Danionidae
Source: RNAcentral